Molecule: long non-coding RNA, 463 nt
Filed under: Equus caballus (horse)
Lineage: Eukaryota; Metazoa; Chordata; Mammalia; Perissodactyla; Equidae
Description: lncRNA (ENSECAG00000058860.1)
Source: RNAcentral
CCGCAGUUCGGUGAUCCAUCCUCCCAUGGACUAGCAUUUAGAUGUCUCCUCCGAGUACCAGCUUCCGAAAGGAUUUCUCCUUUGCUGUCUCCUGAACACACGCUGCUCAGUCCGGUCCCUGCUCAGCCUCGUGCUUCCGAGGUGCUGCUCCUGCUCCUCUCCCACCAGCCAACUGCUCCCUCAGCUCUAUCCCAACCCAGGUGAAACACUCAUCAAAUCAGUGGAGUGAACCAGAGACCUGCAUGGGGAAGGAGUUUCAUCUUUAUUCGUAACCUAUUACCCUGACUCACACAAACCCGUUUGCAUCCUGACUGUCAAGACUUCAGUGUGUCAGCCUCGGAGGAACGCCUUCUGAACCCCCACCUACCACCAUGUUUCCACUCCAAACUACACAGAGCCUUCGCCUGCCCACCUCCAGUUACCAAGUGGCUCAUUCACCAAACGGAAAAUAAUUAAUGAGCAC